CUGUCUCUAUUUAAAUAUUAAUUUAAUUUAAUUUUUAAGUUAAAAAGCUUAAAUUUUUUUAAAGGACGAGAAGACCCUAUAGAGUUUUACAAAUUAAUUGAUUAAUAAAUUUUAUUUUUUUUGUUAAUUAAUUAAUUUUGUUUUAUUGGGGCGAUAUUAAAAUUUAAUUAACUUUUAAUUUAUUAAAACAUUAAUUAAUGAAUUUUUGAUCCUAUUAUUUAGAUUAAUAGAAUAAAUUACCUUAGGGA
This 248-nucleotide ribosomal RNA is filed under the name Strongylogaster blechni. Its description in RNAcentral is "partial 16S ribosomal RNA". The record is from RNAcentral. Lineage: Eukaryota; Metazoa; Arthropoda; Insecta; Hymenoptera; Tenthredinidae.